AGAAUCAACGCUGGCGGCGUGCCUAACACAUGCAAGUCGCACGAGAAAGGGUAGCAAUACCUGAGUAAAGUGGCGCACGGGUGAGUAACACGUGACUAACCUACCCUUUGAGUGGGGGAUAACUGAGGGAAACCUUAGCUAAUACCGCAUAAUACCCACGGGUCAAAGGAGCAAUUCGCUCGAGGAGGGGUCGCGGCCGAUUAGUUAGUUGGCGGGGUAAUGGCCCACCAAGACGAUGAUCGGUA
RNAcentral lists this ribosomal RNA (245 nucleotides) under uncultured bacterium. Its description in RNAcentral is "partial small subunit ribosomal RNA". It matches the Rfam family "Bacterial small subunit ribosomal RNA", at positions 26 to 285 of the family's 1533-position model. The record is from RNAcentral.